Megalops cyprinoides (Indo-Pacific tarpon) is the source of this 84-nucleotide small nucleolar RNA. RefSeq annotates it as small nucleolar RNA SNORD103/SNORD85. The record is from RefSeq and is a predicted model, not a curated record. The transcript has a single exon. NCBI's taxonomy places the organism in Eukaryota, Metazoa, Chordata, Actinopteri, Elopiformes, Megalopidae.
CCUGACGCUGAUGACACACUUGCCCUCACUGAGAGCUUGUCUCCAUAAUGAGAACUAUUUUGUACUCAGUUUUGCUGAGCCGGG